AGAACGAACGCUGGCGGCAUGCCUAACACAUGCAAGUCGAACGUGAUCCGGGGCUUGCUCCGGUGAAAGUGGCGGACGGGUGAGUAACGCGUGGGAACCUGCCCAGUGGUCGGGGAUAACUGCGGGAAACUGCAGCUAAUACCCGGUAAGCCCUACGGGGGAAAGAUUUAUCGCCAUUGGAGGGGCCCGCGUCGGAUUAGGUAGUUGGUGGGGUAAAGGCCUACCAAGCCUUCGAUCCGUAGCUGGUCUGAGAGGAUGAUCAGCCACACUGGGACUGAGAUACGGCCCAGACUCCUACGGGAGGCAGCAGUGGGGAAUAUUGGACAAUGGGCGCAAGCCUGAUCCAGCAAUGCCGCGUGAGUGAAGAAGGCCUUAGGGUUGUAAAGCUCUUUCGGCGGGACGAUGAUGACGGUACCCGCAGAAGAAGCCCGGCUAACUCCGCGCCAGCAGCCGC
Molecule: ribosomal RNA, 454 nt
Filed under: uncultured bacterium
Lineage: Bacteria
Description: SSU rRNA
Rfam family: Bacterial small subunit ribosomal RNA
Source: RNAcentral